GUCUGCAACCCGACUCCAUGAAGCUGGAUUCGCUAGUAAUCGCGCAUCAGCCACGGCGCGGUGAAUACGUUCCCGGGCCUUGUACACACCGCCCGUCAAGCCAUGAAAGCCGGGGGUACCUGAAGUGCGUAACCGCGAGGAGCGCCCUAGGGUAAAACUGGUGAUUGGGGCUAAGUCGUAACAAGGUACC
RNAcentral lists this ribosomal RNA (190 nucleotides) under uncultured bacterium. RNAcentral's name for it is "partial 16S ribosomal RNA". It matches the Rfam family "Bacterial small subunit ribosomal RNA", at positions 1303 to 1500 of the family's 1533-position model. The record is from RNAcentral.